GCCCAGAUGGCGGAAUUGGUAGACGCGCAGGUUUCAGGUACUUGUGCCGCAAGGCGUGGAGGUUCGAGUCCUCUUUUGGGCACCA
This 85-nucleotide transfer RNA is filed under the name Cardidatus Bartonella washoeensis 085-0475. RNAcentral describes it as "Bartonella washoeensis 085-0475 tRNA-Leu". It matches the Rfam family "tRNA". Rfam says of the family: Transfer RNA (tRNA) molecules are approximately 80 nucleotides in length. The record is from RNAcentral. Lineage: Bacteria; Pseudomonadati; Pseudomonadota; Alphaproteobacteria; Hyphomicrobiales; Bartonellaceae.